GAAAUGCGAUACGUAAUGUGAAUUGCAGAAUUCAGUGAAUCAUCGAGUCUUUGAACGCACAUUGCGCCCCCUGGUAUUCCGGGGGGCAUGCCUGUCCGAGCGUCAUUGCUGCCCUCAAGCACGGCUUGUGUGUUGGGCCCCCGUCCCCCCCCCAGGGGACGGGCCCGAAAGGCAGCGGCGGCACCGUGUCCGGUCCUCGAGCGUAUGGGAAGCAACUUUUUGUCACCCGCUCCUGUAGGUCCGGCCGGCGGCCUGCCCAACCCCAACCUUUUUUUCAACCAGGUUGACCUCGGAUCAGGUAGGGAUACCCGCUGAACUUAAGC
Molecule: unclassified non-coding RNA, 323 nt
Filed under: plant metagenome
Description: partial contains 5.8S ribosomal RNA, internal transcribed spacer 2, and large subunit ribosomal RNA
Rfam family: 5.8S ribosomal RNA (bases 1-105)
Source: RNAcentral